CCAAAAAGGAAUUGCUCUAGUACGGCGAGUGAUGCGCAUAGCUCAAUUUGAAUCUGGCGUCUUCGACGUCCGAGUUGUAUUUGUAGAGGAUGCUUCUGAGUAACCACUUACCUAAGUUCCUUGGAACAGGACGUCAUAAGGGUGAGAAUCCCGUAUGCGGUCGGAAAGGUGCUCUACACGUAGCUCCUUCNACGAGUCNAGUUGUUUGGGAAUGCAGCUCUAAAUGGGAGGUAAAUUUCUUCUAAAGCUAAAUAUUGGCCAGAGACCGAUAGCGCACAAGUAGAGUGAUCGAAAGAUGAAAAGCACUUUGGAAAGAGAGUUAAAAAGCACGUGAAAUUGUUAAAAGGGAAGGGAUUGCAACCAGACUUGCUCGCGGUGUUCCGCCGGUCUUCUGACCGGUCUACUCCGCGCGUUGCAGGCCAGCAUCGUCUGGUGCCGCUGGAUAAGACUUGAGGAAUGUAGCUCCCUCGGGAGUGUUAUAGCCUCUUGUGAUGCAGCGAGCGCCGGGCGAGGUCCGCGCUUCGGCUAGGAUGCUGGCGUAAUGGUCGUAAUGCGCCCGUCUGAAACACGGGACCAAAAACUAAGG
This 586-nucleotide ribosomal RNA is filed under the name Cladosporium herbarum. RNAcentral describes it as "eukaryotic LSU rRNA". It matches the Rfam family "Eukaryotic large subunit ribosomal RNA", at positions 65 to 664 of the family's 3401-position model. The record is from RNAcentral. Lineage: Eukaryota; Fungi; Ascomycota; Dothideomycetes; Cladosporiales; Cladosporiaceae.